GGCGACGACGGGUAUCCGGCCUGAGAGGGCGACCGGACACACUGGGACUGAGACACGGCCCAGACUCCUACGGGAGGCAGCAGUGGGGAAUAUUGGGCAAUGGACGAAAGUCUGACCCAGCGACGCCGCGUGAGGGAUGAAGGCCUUCGGGUUGUAAACCUCUUUCAGUAGGGAAGAAGCGAAAGUGACGGUACCUAAAGAAGAAGCACCGGCUAAUUAUGUGCCAGCAGCCGCGGUAAUACAUAGGGUGCAAGCGUUGUCCGGAAUUAUUGGGCGUAAAGAGCUCGUAGGUGGUUUGUUGCGUCGGGUGUGAAAUUCAGGGGCUCAACCCCUGACCUGCACUCGAUACGGGCAGACUAGAGUUUGGUAGGGGAGACUGGAAUUCCUGGUGUAGCGGUGGAAUGCGCAGAUAUCAGGAGGAACACCAAUGGCGAAGGCAGGUCUCUGGGCCAAUACUGACACUGAGGAGCGAAAGCGCGGGGAGCGAACAGGAUUAGAUACCCUGGUAGUCCGCGCCGUAAACGAUGGGCGCUAGUUUGUGGGGACCUUCCACGGUUUCUGCGACGCAGCUAACGCAUUAAGCGCCCCGCCUGGGGAGUACGAUCGCAAGAUUAAAACUCCAAAGGAAUUGACGGGGGACCCGCACCAAGCAGCCGGAAGCAUGC
Molecule: ribosomal RNA, 665 nt
Filed under: uncultured Actinomycetes bacterium
Lineage: Bacteria; Bacillati; Actinomycetota; Actinomycetes
Description: bacterial SSU rRNA
Rfam family: Bacterial small subunit ribosomal RNA
Source: RNAcentral